Carassius gibelio (silver crucian carp) is the source of this 371-nucleotide long non-coding RNA. RefSeq lists it as uncharacterized. The transcript has 3 exons. NCBI's taxonomy places the organism in Eukaryota, Metazoa, Chordata, Actinopteri, Cypriniformes, Cyprinidae. The record is from RefSeq and is a predicted model, not a curated record.
CCGAUUUGGAUAAACCGAUUCACUGCAAUGAUUCGGACUUACGUCACACAUUUGAGAAACGGAGAGAACCAGACCAUUUACGUAAAGUACCUCGUUAUUGUUAAAAAUUCGCAUUUAUGAACAUAACAGAACUACUGUCACGCUACAGAAACGUGUGGAUGUCUUGACUGUCUGAUGGGCUCUGUUGGUUCAUGUCCGGGGCUCCGGCCAGGAGUCAGAGGAUCAUCAUGGGGUCACUUCGCCAAGCUGUAGUAAUGACAACAACCGCAGUGGCUGUCUCGACCAGAUCCAGGCCCUGCCUGCCAUCACCACACACUCCAAAACAGCAGAAAGGAAGGUCUUCAGGUCAUUGUUUAAUAAACAAUCCAGUG